CCUACGGGGUGCUGCAGUGGGGAAUAUUGGACAAUGGGCGAAAGCCUGAUCCAGCCAUGCCGCGUGUGUGAAGAAGGCCUUCGGGUUGUAAAGCACUUUCAGUGGGGAAGAAAGCCUUGGGGCUAAUACCCUCGAGGAAGGACAUCACCCACAGAAGAAGCACCGGCUAACUCCGUGCCAGCAGCCGCGGUAAUACGGAGGGUGCGAGCGUGAAUCGGAAUUACUGGGCGUAAAGCGCGCGUAGGCGGUCUGAUAAGCCGGUUGUGAAAGCCCCGGGCUCAACCUGGGAACGGCAUCCGGAACUGUCAGGCUAGAGUGCAGGAGAGGAAGGUAGAAUUCCCGGUGUAGCGGUGAAAUGCGUAGAGAUCGGGAGGAAUACCAGUGGCGAAGGCGGCCUUCUGGACUGACACUGACGCUGAGGUGCGAAAGCGUGGGUAGCAAACAGGAUUAGAUACCCUAGUAGUC
RNAcentral lists this ribosomal RNA (465 nucleotides) under Vreelandella stevensii. Its description in RNAcentral is "partial 16S ribosomal RNA". It matches the Rfam family "Bacterial small subunit ribosomal RNA", at positions 338 to 795 of the family's 1533-position model. The record is from RNAcentral. Lineage: Bacteria; Pseudomonadati; Pseudomonadota; Gammaproteobacteria; Oceanospirillales; Halomonadaceae.